GCAGUCGUGGCCGUGUGGUGAAGGCGAUAGACCAGAAAUCCAUUGGGGUCUCCCCGCACAGGUUCGAAUCCUGUCAACUGCG
Molecule: transfer RNA, 82 nt
Filed under: Ixodes scapularis (black-legged tick)
Lineage: Eukaryota; Metazoa; Arthropoda; Arachnida; Ixodida; Ixodidae
Rfam family: tRNA
About the family: Transfer RNA (tRNA) molecules are approximately 80 nucleotides in length.
Source: Rfam by way of RNAcentral